Molecule: ribosomal RNA, 468 nt
Filed under: uncultured bacterium
Lineage: Bacteria
Description: partial 16S ribosomal RNA
Rfam family: Bacterial small subunit ribosomal RNA
Source: RNAcentral
GACGAACGCUGGCGGCGUGCUUAACACAUGCAAGUCGAACGGAAAGGCCCUGCUCUUGUGGGGUGCUCGAGUGGCGAACGGGUGAGUAACACGUGAGUAACCUGCCCUUGACUUUGGGAUAACUUCAGGAAACUGGGGCUAAUACCGGAUAGGAGCUCCUGCUGCAUGGUGGGGGUUGGAAAGUUUCGGCUGUUCGGGAUGGACUCGCGGCUUAUCAGCUUGUUGGUGGGGUAGUGGCUUACCAAGGCUUUGACGGGUAGCCGGCCUGAGAGGGUGACCGGCCACAUUGGGACUGAGAUACGGCCCAGACGGCUACGGGAGGCAGCAGUGGGGAACAUUGCACAAUGGGCCGAAGCCUGAUGCAGCAGCGCCGCGUGCGGGAUGACGGCAUUCGGGUUGUAAACCGCUUUCGCCUGUGACGAAGAGGGAGUGACGGUAACGUGUAAAGAAGCACCGGCUAACUACGUG